GAGAUUUUUAAUCAAUUGCCUUGAUCUUAAGGUAACUUAAAUUCUGUACAAAAAUAUUGUAAUUUAUUUAUCAUGUAGACGAAAGAUAUUUACAGUGUAAGUUGUUUAUAAUGUAAAUAAAGUAAGAUUUAGUAGGUGAAAUAUACAAAUAUAGUUGACAUUGAUUAAGUAUUGUAUUCCGCAUACGACAAGUGAGUAUUGUCGUUGGACUACCGGCGUUCUGCGUCGAUUCCGUGAUAACUAGGAGAAGGCACGUAACGGUCGAUAAUAACGAUGCGGUUUAAAAUGGGCCGACGUGGCAGCGGCAAGUAUUUUCGUCCACGAAAUACCAAGAAAACGAGUUCGAGAGCCCAUACCGAUCACAGGAUGUUAUCAACGUACAUACGGAUUCUCUGCUGCGGUACUUCCGCAGUACGACACGCUGCGCACGCGAAACAGUGCACGAUGCAACUGCAGACGCUCAUCGUAUGUACGAUUAAGCGACAUUUUUAGCGGGAGCGACUAUAGUCGCUCGUAGAACCUGAGUAGCAUCACAUGGAAUUUUAAUUCGUAAUCAAGAUUCUCUAAUUCCUAUUUCAAUUUUUCUUUUUCAACCGUGCUGUCUAUUCUCUUAUCACGGUAUAAAUCUUUGUUUAUGUUUAUCAUUUUUAAUUUCUUUUAAAUUAUUAAAGAAAUAUAUUUUCUUUAUAUAUUUACUACUUAUGUAUAUAUGUAUAUACUGGUUGAAAGUAACUUGAUCAGUGCAAAUUCCGCUAUUGCCGUUCUACUACUAAUAACAUACAUAUCCAAACAUUAUAAAUUUAUAUGUAUGCGUGCAUUUAUGUAUGUAAAUGAAUGAUCCGAUAAGUGCAAAUAUAAGAUAUACAUAUUAUCAAGAAACAUGUAACUCUACUGUUAUAAUAAAAUACUGUACAUAUUACAUAUUAUAUAUAGGAAAAACGUGCGCACGUGUACGGUAAUUUGGAGUAAGACAAGCAAUAUAAGCUGGUAUAGGUCAUCGGAGAUUUGGCAACAUCGCUAUGUAGCAUCGACGAUGGCAAUGGCGGCGGUAUGAUUCCGCUCCGCAAUCGCAACCGCACACCCGCCUUCUACUGGCCGCCAUGAUGCCAAGCGAAAUACGCCGUGCAACGGUUUCUCCGCAGUGACGCUCAAGCUGCCGUCAACGUAGCAACAACGUUACGCCAUUUGCGGUACCGCGUUUCCUACGAACAUGGAUUUGUAAAAACCCCUGCCACUAAAACGGUUCUUCUUCGUUUUGUUAUUUACAAAUCUAUAUAUAUAUAUAUAUACUUAUAUAUUUUUUUUUCGUCGUAUUUUAAUAACACAUCGUCGAUCGAUUCGGUUUACCUAUCCUCCCCCCCCCCUCAGUUCUUAGUUCAAUUUCUCUCGAUUUCUAUCGAUCUUCAAAUUUUUUAUUCAUAUUUAUAUUAUACGUGCGAAUUUUAAUGUAGUAAGAUCGAAUCUUUUGAAUUUGAUGAUCGCUUGGAACGAUUUACCGAGAGAGGGGAUAGAGUGACGAAGAGAGGAAGCGAGAGAGGGGAAAGAAAGAGAGAUAGAUAGAAAGAGAGAGAG
RNAcentral lists this long non-coding RNA (1572 nucleotides) under Polistes dominula (European paper wasp). Its description in RNAcentral is "uncharacterized LOC107068010, transcript variant X1". The record is from RNAcentral. Lineage: Eukaryota; Metazoa; Arthropoda; Insecta; Hymenoptera; Vespidae.